This is a non-coding RNA of Eucalyptus grandis, 191 nucleotides long. The record is from Rfam. Lineage: Eukaryota; Viridiplantae; Streptophyta; Magnoliopsida; Myrtales; Myrtaceae.
UUUUCUUUCUUUUUUCUUUUUUCUUUUUUUCUUCUUUUGGCCAGCAGCCUCGCCCAGCCACGGCGAGGCCAAGCCUGGCCGUGGUUGGGCGAGGCUCGGCCUCGCCCUCGUCAGCCAGUCGUCGGCCAUGGUCGAGGCCGGCGACCGGCCAAAAAAAAAAGAAGAAAAAAAGAAGAAGAAAAGAGAUGAGA